Molecule: ribosomal RNA, 301 nt
Filed under: uncultured bacterium
Lineage: Bacteria
Description: partial 16S ribosomal RNA
Rfam family: Bacterial small subunit ribosomal RNA
Source: RNAcentral
CAGCCGCCGCGGUAAUACAGAGGAUGCAAGCGUUAUCCGGAAUCAUUGGGUUUAAAGGGUCCGUAGGCGGUUUAGUAAGUCAGUGGUGAAAGCCCAUCGCUCAACGGUGGAACGGCCAUUGAUACUGCUGAACUUGAAUUAUUAGGAAGUAACUAGAAUAUGUGGUGUAGCGGUGAAAUGCUUAGAGAUUACAUGGAAUACCAAUUGCGAAGGCAGGUUACUACUAAUUGAUUGACGCUGAUGGACGAAAGCGUGGGGAGCGAACAGGAUUAGAUACCCCGGUAGUCCCUGUCUCUUAUAC